GGGUGUUAGCUCAGCUGGUUAGAGCGCCGGCCUGUCACGCCGGAGGUCGUGGGUUCGAGCCCCAUACA
Molecule: transfer RNA, 68 nt
Filed under: bovine gut metagenome
Rfam family: tRNA
About the family: Transfer RNA (tRNA) molecules are approximately 80 nucleotides in length. Their secondary structure includes four short double-helical elements and three loops (D, anti-codon, and T loops).
Source: RNAcentral